GUUCUGUCAAAAAAAUUGGGACACCACGACGCCAUGACUGUGAACAAAUGUAUUUGCUUUCACUUUGUGUGUAGUUAUGUUUGAAGAGACAGUUAACAGGCCGCGUUACUGAGGUUCCAUUAUGGGUUGCCAGCCAAGCCAGCUGAAACAUAAGAUCGAGCCCGCGACAAAACAACCAGCAAAAACAAAUCUUCCUCUUAGCGCACGCCAGAUAUAUUUGUUGAAGCGGUCGUGGAAAGGGAUUCAAAGAGAAUUGAAAGUGACGGCCACAGAUAUGUUUGUAAGAUUGUUCUGGCAACACCCGUACUUGAAGAGUUUAUUUACAUUCAAAAACAUGGAGAACGUGGACGAAUGUACAUCAAGUGCCGGCAGACCCUUCACACACCACGCCUUUCUUGUAAUGAAAGUAGUGGAUGUUUGCAUCAGUAACAUCGACGACUUGGACUAUACAUCCAAACUGUUGGCAGAAAUACUACGAAUUCAUAAGGCGAACGGUCUUAGUUACAAAUUAUUUUGGAAAAUAAAGCAGCCGUUUCUACAAGCGGUGAAACACACGCUGGAUGAGAGAUACUCAGAUAACAUGGAAACUGUCUAUAUAACUGUUAUUGACUAUAUUCUACUCCACCUUUCUGAAGGAAUAUCCGAAAGUGAAUGUCUUGGUGAUGACGCGAUAAAAGAAGAAAUCGAGCGCUCCGGAAUUGUGAGCUUGAAAGAAGAACUUGCCAAGAAACAACCCCCUAAGUCAAAUGUUGGUCUUAGGUAUGAUAGUAGCACCCUCACCGAAUUGGUUAGCCAAAAGACGGAGGACGAACCUGAAAACGACAAGCUUCAGGAGUUCGGGAUCAUGUAGAGAAUACCGCGUGGAAAGUGGCCGUUAGAAUCCCAUUUACCCUACAACGUAUCCCAGUCAUAAAUGCUGUGACGUCCAUAAGCGUACGAGACAGGUUGCGGAGGACACCUCCUCCAGUGCUGGAGCAAAUCCUCAAAUUUGGGCAAAGACGAUUGGGAUAUUCGGGCACAAUAAGCAGAAACCUGAAACCCUUUUUCACCAUGUAUUUCCAUAAUUCUACCUACAAUAUUAGUUGUAAUCCAUGGAAAAAUGCACAGACAUUCGUUUGCAACGUUAAAUAGCUGUUUGGUAAUAAUGCUAAUAUGAAUAAAUGUUGUAAUCCAG
This 1174-nucleotide unclassified non-coding RNA is filed under the name Gigantopelta aegis. RNAcentral describes it as "neuroglobin-like, transcript variant X3". Lineage: Eukaryota; Metazoa; Mollusca; Gastropoda; Neomphalida; Peltospiridae. The record is from RNAcentral.